This 2387-nucleotide long non-coding RNA is filed under the name Homo sapiens (human). RNAcentral's name for it is "HSALNT0358582". Lineage: Eukaryota; Metazoa; Chordata; Mammalia; Primates; Hominidae. The record is from RNAcentral.
UCAUCUCAGCGUUGGUAGGAGGCACCUUCCACUUGGAUUCUCUUCAUGUGGUUAAGAGAGUCCUGAGUUCCAAUCCUAAGUUCACUCGUCUCUACCUCCUUGCCUUUGUGCAGGUUACUUAACUUUUCUGACCAUCAGUCUUCUCUGUUGUAACAUAGGGAUGGUAACACCCAUUUCUUAUGCAUGCAGUGAUGCUUAAUGACAUAAUGUAGGUGGGGUUCAUGCACAAGGCCUGGUAUAUGAUGAGUGCUGGUAAAUCUUAGCUCCCAAUGACACUGUAUCAGGCUCUGUGCUAGGGUGCUUUACGAAAAUGAUCUCAUGUAAUCCUCACAACACAUCAGGAUAUUGGUACUCUUCAUUUUACAGAUGGGGAAACUGAGGCUCUGUGGGAUUAAGGGACUCACCCAAGGUCAUAAAGCCAGAUUGUGACAUUGAGAUUCAAAUCUUGGCAACCUUACUUUCUGGAAACACUUUCCCCCUUCCUCUUCUUUAGACCCACAUGCAGGCUGCUUGCAGACUCUGUGCUUGGCCAUGUUUCUUGGUCAGCAGGGCAGUCGGGCAAUGGGCAUUUUAAUCAUGUUUAUGCUGGACAGGGCUGUCCCUUGGGCUUGAGGACAAUGUUCUUGAACCAGAAGAAUAUGGCAGAAGUAUAAUGCCAUUUCACCAGGACAGAUGCAUCAAAUUCCAUCUUGGGUCUGGUAAUUCUGCCACAGAUGGUGGCCCAUUGAUAUGUGCAUGCUUGGCUGGGGUGAGAGUCUGUGCCAAUGUCACAGGACACAGCAACCCCAAUGAGUCUGUUUACUUAUUUAACAGUCAAGGUGACCAGAAGAGACACUUUCCAACAGGACACAAUGAGGAGGUACCCAGCAAGUCUUCUAGCUGAUUGGGGGAAGAAACCCAGUGUAUUACAGGAAAAUGAGAGAGUGCAUUUGAAUUUGUUUCUAAUCUGAAUUUUCCAUAUAAACUCUAGUUAGCAGUUUCAAAACUGUGGACGCACUUCAGCCUAAGGGACAAAAACAAAACAAAUGACCCAAGGUACCAGCUGCAAGAUGCUGGAAUAGGAGGGAGGGAGGGAAGGCCAGUGAGAGGGCAAGAUUAUUAAUAUGCUUUUCUUACUAAAUUGGCUUUCAGAAUCAAGGGGAAGAACCAAGGUGGGUUGUUAAGGGAGUACUGAUUUAGAUGUGCUGAGCAGUUGAAAUGUUUUUGUUUCUCAAACAUGAAAGCACUUGGCUUUGCAUGACUGGGUUUUAAAUUGCUCAGCAAAGCAUCACUUGGGGCUAACCUGAGUCUGUGAAGUUCCACAAUUCAGGAAUGAUGGUUACUGCAGCACUCUUGUGUUUCAAGGUUCGUCAUGAAGACUAGCAUAGAUUCCACUGUUCAAUUAAAGCAACGUUUACCAUGAUAUUCCUAUUUUCCAUGAUGCAGGGUCCUGGGAAGCAUCUCUUUCAGGAAGGGAGUAUGUAUUCAAGGUCAGUCAGUAUAUGAAUGUGUCUGAGACUUGGAUGGCUCAAGGGGAUAGAGCUAGGUGUUAUCUGGCAGUCGCAAAAGUGAGAGAUGAUGACAAGGCCAAGGUACUCAGUCCAUGAUUUCAGAUUAGGGAGGCACCACCUGGCAAAGGGGGAGCCUGACAAUGCAGGGCAGUUCUAAGUACCAGGCUUGGGACCGAUUCUAUGGAGAUAUGGUAGAUGGGACUACCCUCAACUGAAUAAUGUGUGAAGAGAAUUUAAGACCAUGCCUGAUACAUAGAGGGUCCAGUGAAAGUUGAAGGCAAAUAACCCUGGUAAAGAAGGCAGGAAACACAAGGAAGCCAUUCAUUUAUUUAUUAUUCAUUCAAUCAACAAAUAUUUCUUAAAUAUUUAUACCAACAAAGCAUGGAACCUCUAGCCAAACUCUCUGGUUUCAAAUCCUGGCUGUUUUACAAUAUCUGUAUAACCUUGAGCAAGUUACUUAAUUAUUCUCUGUGCCUCCAUUUCUUCAUUUGUAACAUGGGAAUAAUCAAAAAGAAUAAAUGAAGAUUGUUAUGAAGACUAACACAUGAUUGUUAUUAUUAUCUUUUUGUUCAUUUAUUUAGCUGUGUCCUUAGUCUGUUGCUUGAUUGGUGUGGUGUUGGGGAUGUGGCCAACGGAGACAGGAAAGGUCUCCGUCUUUACCCACCUUAUAUUACAAUAGAAGAGUCAGAUUAUAAAAAAAUAAUAAAUCAAUAAAUAAUACUUUAAGGUAGUGAUGAGUGAUGCAGGAAACAAGAGAAGAUGAUUGUGGAGUGAGUGAUUACUACGGGUGAGGUCCAAUGAUAGAGAGGACUAGUGAAGAGGGAAGACAGUCAGUCUACACAAAGAUCAUCCUGUUGAAAAAUAUGAAAUAUGCAAGUCUUUGGAAUUUACCCAAAA